This 71-nucleotide transfer RNA is filed under the name Caudoviricetes sp. RNAcentral describes it as "tRNA-Ile". It matches the Rfam family "tRNA". From Rfam's summary of the family: Transfer RNA (tRNA) molecules are approximately 80 nucleotides in length. Their secondary structure includes four short double-helical elements and three loops (D, anti-codon, and T loops). The record is from RNAcentral. Lineage: Duplodnaviria; Heunggongvirae; Uroviricota; Caudoviricetes.
UAGGGACUAGCUCAAUGGUAGAGCAUCACACUGAUAAGGUGAGGUUAGUGGUUCGAAUCCACUGUUCCUAA